GCGGGUAUUUAUCUCUGAUGAUUUUGAUGGAGAGCUGUUUCCACGAUAUCUGAGCUUUGUGAAGGGUGUGGUUGACUCUGAUGAUCUUCCUCUUAAUGUCUCUCGAGAAAUUCUUCAAGAGAGCCGAAUUGUAAGAAUUAUGAGAAAGAGACUUGUCAGGAAAACAUUUGACAUGAUUCAAGAGCUCUCAGAAAGUGAAAAUAAGGAGGAUUACAAGAAAUUCUGGGAGAAUUUUGGCAGGUUUCUCAAAUUAGGAUGUAUUGAAGACACUGGUAAUCACAAGCGCAUAACUCCUUUGCUGCGGUUCUACACCUCCAAAAGUGAGGAUG
This 329-nucleotide unclassified non-coding RNA is filed under the name Hevea brasiliensis (rubber tree). Lineage: Eukaryota; Viridiplantae; Streptophyta; Magnoliopsida; Malpighiales; Euphorbiaceae. The record is from RNAcentral.